GCUGGGCAUGGUGGCGCAUGCCUGUAAUCCCAGCUACUCAGGAGGCUGAGGCAGGAGAAUCGCUUGAAACCAGGACGCAGAGGUUGCAGGGAGCCAAGAUCGCACCAUUGCACUCCGGCCUGGGGGAUAGAGUGAGACUCUGUCUCUA
Papio anubis (olive baboon) is the source of this 148-nucleotide unclassified non-coding RNA. It matches the Rfam family "Metazoan signal recognition particle RNA". From Rfam's summary of the family: The signal recognition particle (SRP) is a universally conserved ribonucleoprotein. It is involved in the co-translational targeting of proteins to membranes. The record is from Ensembl. Lineage: Eukaryota; Metazoa; Chordata; Mammalia; Primates; Cercopithecidae.